GUGGGGAAUCUUGCGCAAUGGGCGAAAGCCUGACGCAGCCAUGCCGCGUGAAUGAUGAAGGUCUUAGGAUUGUAAAAUUCUUUCACCGGGGACGAUAAUGACGGUACCCGGAGAAGAAGCCCCGGCUAACUUCGUGCCAGCAGCCGCGGUAAUACGAAGGGGGCUAGCGUUGCUCGGAAUUACUGGGCGUAAAGGGCGCGUAGGCGGACAGGUUAGUCAGAGGUGAAAGCCCAGUGCUCAACCUUGGAAUUGCCUUUGAUACUGGCUGUCUUGAGUACGGGAGAGGUGAGUGGAACUCCGAGUGUAGAGGUGAAAUUCGUAGAUAUUCGGAAGAACACCAGUGGCGAAGGCGACUCACUGGCCCGUUACUGACGCUGAGGCGCGAAAGCGUGGGGAGCAAACAGGAUUAGAAACCCUAGUAGUCC
RNAcentral lists this ribosomal RNA (425 nucleotides) under uncultured bacterium. Its description in RNAcentral is "partial 16S ribosomal RNA". It matches the Rfam family "Bacterial small subunit ribosomal RNA", at positions 354 to 796 of the family's 1533-position model. The record is from RNAcentral.